Molecule: long non-coding RNA, 1395 nt
Filed under: Felis catus (domestic cat)
Lineage: Eukaryota; Metazoa; Chordata; Mammalia; Carnivora; Felidae
Description: lncRNA (ENSFCAG00000051474.1)
Source: RNAcentral
AUGAGCCGAUCCUGGUUGAGGGUGGGUCUGAACCCCAUGACAGGUGUCCUUCUAAGAGACACAAGAGGAGACACAGACACAGACACGGAGGAGAAGCCACGUGAACACAGAGGCACAGACAGAAGAGACGUGGCCACAAGCCCAGGGACGCCUGGAGCCCCAGAAGCUGGAAGAGGCAGGAAGGACCCUCCCCUGGAGCCUCUGGAGGGAGCACAGCCCUGCCCGGAUCUCAGGGGUCCUGUCCCUCCUGGAUCUCAGUGGCCCUGCCCCUCCUGGAUCUCAGUGGCCCUUCCCUGCCUAAAUCUCAGUGGCCCUGCCCUGCCUGGGUCUCAGUGGCCUGCCCUGCCUGGAUCUCAGUGGCCCUUCCCUGCCUGGAUCUCAGUGGCCCUGCCCUGCCUGGGUCUCAGUGGCCCUGCCCUGCCUGGAUCUCAGUGGUCCUGCCCUGCCUGGGUCUCAGCGGCCCUGCCCUGCCUGGAUCUCAGCGGCCCUGCCCUGCCUGCAUCUCAGGGGCCCUGCCCCUCCUGGAUGUCAGUGGCCUGCCCUGCCUGGUUCUCAGGGGCCCUGCCCCUCCUGGAUCUCAGUGGCCCUUCCCUGCCUGGAUCUCAGUGUCCCUGCCCUGCCUGGUUCUCAGGGGUCCUGCCCCUCCUGGAUCUCAGUGGUCCUGCCCCUCCUGGAUCUCAGUGGCCCUGCCCUGCCUGGAUCUCAGGGGUCCUGCCCUGCCUGGGUCUCAGCGGCCCUGCCCUGCCUGGAUCUCAGUGGCCCUGCCCUGCCUGGAUCUCAGUGGUCCUGCCCUGCCUGGGUCUCAGCGGCCCUGCCCUGCCUGGAUCUCAGCAGCCCUGCCCCCCCUGGAUCUCAGUGGUCCUGCGCCUCCUGGAUCUCAGCAGCCCUGUGCUGCCUGCAUCUCAGGGGCCCUGCCCCUCCUGGAUGUCAGUGGCCUUGCCCUGCCUGGUUCUCAGGGGCCCUGCCCCUCCUGGAUCUCAGUGGCCCUUCCCUGCCUGGAUCUCAGUGUCCCUGCCCUGCCGGGUCUCAGUGGCCCUGCCCUGCCUGGAUCUCAGUGUCCCUGCCCUGCCUGGUUCUCAGGGGUCCUGCCCUGCCUGGGUCUCAGUGGCCCUGCCCUGCCUGGGUCUCAGUGGCCCUUCCCUGCCUGGGUCUCAGUGGCCCUGCCCUGCCUGGAUCUCAGUGGCCCUGCCCCUCCUGGAUCUCAGCGGCCCUGCCCUGCCUGGUUCUCAGGGGCCCUGCCCCUCCUGGAUCUCAGCGGCCCUGCCCUGCCUGGAUCUCAGGGGCCCUGCCCUGCCUGGAUCUCAGUGGCCCUGCCCGCCUGGAUCUCAGUGGCCUGCCCUGCCUGGAUCUCAGGGGUCCUGCCUGCAUGGAUCUCAGCAGCCCUGCCCUGCCUGA